GUCUGAUCAGCCAUGCCGCGUGCAGGAUGACGGUCCUAUGGAUUGUAAACUGCUUUUGCACAGGAAAAAACACUCCGACGUGUCCGACCUUGACGGUACUGUGAGAAUAAGGAUCGGCUAACUCCGUGCCAGCAGCCGCGGUAAUACGGAGGAUCCAAGCGUUAUCCGGAAUCAUUGGGUUUAAAGGGUCCGUACGCGGUCUUGUAAGUCAGUGGUGAAAGCCCAUCGCUCAACGGUGGAACGGCCAUUGAUACUGCAGGACUUGAAUUAUUGGGAAGUAACUAGAAUAUGUAGUGUAGCGGUGAAAUGCUUAAAGAUUACAUGGAAUACCAAUUGCGAAGGCAGGUUACUACCAAUUUAUUGACGCUGAUGGACGAAAGCGUGGGUAGCGAACAGGAUUACAUACCCUGGUAGUCCACGCCGUAAACGAUGGAUACUACCUGUUGGGAGCAAUCUCAGUGGCUAAGCGAAAGUGAUAAGUAACCCACCUGGGGAGUACGAACGCAAGUUUGAAACUCAGAGGAAUUGACGGGGGCCCGCACAAGCGGUGGAGCAUGUGGUUUAAUUCGAUGAUACGCGAGGAACCUUACCAAGGCUUAAAUGCAGACUGACCGAUUUGGAAACAGAUCUUUC
RNAcentral lists this ribosomal RNA (633 nucleotides) under Flavobacterium sp. So2Ps_942. Its description in RNAcentral is "bacterial SSU rRNA". It matches the Rfam family "Bacterial small subunit ribosomal RNA", at positions 381 to 1016 of the family's 1533-position model. Lineage: Bacteria; Pseudomonadati; Bacteroidota; Flavobacteriia; Flavobacteriales; Flavobacteriaceae. The record is from RNAcentral.